Molecule: ribosomal RNA, 771 nt
Filed under: Phaeoacremonium fusiformostromum
Lineage: Eukaryota; Fungi; Ascomycota; Sordariomycetes; Togniniales; Togniniaceae
Description: SSU rRNA
Rfam family: Eukaryotic small subunit ribosomal RNA
Source: RNAcentral
AUCAACUUUCGACGGCUGGGUCUUGGCCAGCCAUGGUGACAACGGGUAACGGAGGGUUAGGGCUCGACCCCGGAGAAGGAGCCUGAGAAACGGCUACUACAUCCAAGGAAGGCAGCAGGCGCGCAAAUUACCCAAUCCCGAUACGGGGAGGUAGUGACAAUAAAUACUGAUACAGGGCUCUUUUGGGUCUUGUAAUUGGAAUGAGUACAAUUUAAAUCCCUUAACGAGGAACAAUUGGAGGGCAAGUCUGGUGCCAGCAGCCGCGGUAAUUCCAGCUCCAAUAGCGUAUAUUAAAGUUGUUGCAGUUAAAAAGCUCGUAGUUGAACCUUGGGCCUGGCUGGCCGGUCCGCCUCACCGCGUGCACUGGUCCGGCCGGGCCUUUCCCUCUGGGGAGCCGCAUGCCCUUCACUGGGUGUGUCGGGGAACCAGGACUUUUACUGUGAAAAAAUUAGAGUGUUCAAAGCAGGCCUAUGCUCGAAUACAUUAGCAUGGAAUAAUAGAAUAGGACGUGUGGUUCUAUUUUGUUGGUUUCUAGGACCGCCGUAAUGAUUAAUAGGGACAGUCGGGGGCAUCAGUAUUCAAUUGUCAGAGGUGAAAUUCUUGGAUUUAUUGAAGACUAACUACUGCGAAAGCAUUUGCCAAGGAUGUUUUCAUUAAUCAGGAACGAAAGUUAGGGGAUCGAAGACGAUCAGAUACCGUCGUAGUCUUAACCAUAAACUAUGCCGACUAGGGAUCGGGCGGUGUUAUUUUUUGACCCGCUCGGCACCUUAC